Molecule: ribosomal RNA, 254 nt
Filed under: uncultured bacterium
Lineage: Bacteria
Description: partial 16S ribosomal RNA
Rfam family: Bacterial small subunit ribosomal RNA
Source: RNAcentral
UACGGAGGGGGCAAGCGUUGUUCGGAAUUACUGGGCGUAAAGCGUGCGCAGGCGGUCUGUUAAGACCGAUGUGAAAUCCCCGGGCUUAACCUGGGAACUGCAUUGGUGACUGGCAGGCUUUGAGUGUGGCAGAGGGAGGUAGAAUUCCACGUGUAGCAGCGAAAUGCGUAGAGAUGUGGAGGAAUACCGAUGGCGAAGGCAGCCUCCUGGGCCAACACUGACGCUCAUGCACGAAAGCGUGGGGAGCAAACAGG